RNAcentral lists this ribosomal RNA (253 nucleotides) under uncultured bacterium. Its description in RNAcentral is "partial 16S ribosomal RNA". It matches the Rfam family "Bacterial small subunit ribosomal RNA", at positions 524 to 776 of the family's 1533-position model. The record is from RNAcentral.
UACGUAGGGGGCAAGCGUUGUCCGGAUUUAUUGGGCGUAAAGAGCGUGUAGGCGGCUGGGUAGGUCCGUUGUGAAAACUCGAGGCUCAACCUCGAGACGCCGACGGAAACCCCCCAGCUAGAGUCCGGAAGAGGAGAGUGGAAUUCCUGGUGUAGCGGUGAAAUGCGCAGAUAUCAGGAAGAACACCCGUGGCUAAGGCGGCUCUCUAGUACGGUACUGACGCUGAGACGCGAAAGCGUGGGGAGCGAACAGG